AAAAAAUUUUGCCCUAUGUUUCGCCAUAAAUACAGAAGGUAACAAUAGCGCAUAUAGUUUUUCAUAGAAGUUGGGAUACUCUAAGCCAUGCUGAGUCAUGAGGAUGAAGAGGCUGCUAAGGGCCAUUACACUGACAACUCCACCAAUAUCAUAUGAUCUUGUUAAGAAGUCGCAUAACAUGAUCGGAUUAGAGAUAUAAGGAAUGACUGCCUGAUGGAGAGAAAUUAGAACCUGAGUGACAGCACCUGCCUUUGGGUGCUAGAGGCACUAGGCUUUGAGCUUGUUGUGCCUGGAGCCUGAGCCUUUGACAACUACACACAAGUGUUGAAUGGUCAGUAAUAAAAGCUCAGAUUAGAAAGCAAUAAUGGAAAAGAUAAGCUACCAUAAAAAGAUAUGACUACCAAGCAUUCACUCAAUACAUGUUAAGAUGAGAUGAGUCAAGCACCAUGCAUGAAGCAAAAGAAAACUUUCCAUGUGAGAUGAAAGGACAGUCAGAAGUAAGCAAAGUCUUGUUAGAAAAGUAAUGAUGAUAGCAAAAAGAAAAUAAUGAAAACAUCACCACAAAGAAGAAAGGUCCUAAAGAUUGGCCCCCGGGCAUGUGAACUUUGAUUGAUGGAGUUUAUGAGAUAUGACUGCUCAGUUAGAAGGUGCAUUAGGUCAAAACAAGCCGCCAAAUACAGCAAGAUUCUUGGCAAGCUCAAACCAUGAAGCAAGAGCCCAAGUAGUUUUUCUUGGAGAACUAAUGCUAUCCAUUAGGGCUUCUGUUUUAAGUAUAAAGUAAUAUCAAGUUUUUAGCAUACUAAAUUAAUAAGCCAUUAGAUUAAGUUUUAUACAGUACAUAAAUAACACUGCAAUAUCCCAACAAAAAAAUUAAUUAGCAUUUAAGAAAUUAAGAGCACUUCAUUAAAAUUCAAGCAUGGGGACAAAAAGUAGAAAAUAUACAAGCCAAGACCCAACAAUUCAACCCUGCCACAACAUAUCAUCUU
This 986-nucleotide unclassified non-coding RNA is filed under the name Hevea brasiliensis (rubber tree). The record is from RNAcentral. Lineage: Eukaryota; Viridiplantae; Streptophyta; Magnoliopsida; Malpighiales; Euphorbiaceae.